GACGAACGCUGGCGGCGCGCCUAACACAUGCAAGUCGAACGAGCGAGAGAGAGCUUGCUUUCUCGAGCGAGUGGCGAACGGGUGAGUAACGCGUGAGGAACCUGCCUCAAAGAGGGGGACAACAGUUGGAAACGACUGCUAAUACCGCAUAAGCCCACGGCUCGGCAUCGAGCAGAGGGAAAAGGAGCAAUCCGCUUUGAGAUGGCCUCGCGUCCGAUUAGCUAGUUGGUGAGGUAAUGGCCCACCAAGGCGACGAUCGGUAGCCGGACUGAGAGGUUGAACGGCCACAUUGGGACUGAGACACGGCCCAGACUCCUACGGGAGGCAGCAGUGGGGAAUAUUGCACAAUGGGGGAAACCCUGAUGCAGCGACGCCGCGUGGAGGAAGAAGGUCUUCGGAUUGUAAACUCCUGUUGUUGAGGAAGAUAAUGACGGUACUCAACAAGAAAGUGACGGCUAACUACGUGCCAGCAGCCGCGGUAAAACGUAGGUCACAAGCGUUGUCCGGAAUUACUGGGUGUAAAGGGAGCGCAGGCGGGAAGACAAGUUGGAAGUGAAAUCCAUGGGCUCAACCCAUGAACUGCUUUCAAAACUGUUUUUCUUGAGUAGUGCAGAGGUAGGCGGAAUUCCCGGUGUAGCGGUGGAAUGCGUAGAUAUCGGGAGGAACACCAGUGGCGAAGGCGGCCUACUGGGCACCAACUGACGCUGAGGCUCGAAAGUGUGGGUAGCAAACAGGAUUAGAUACCCUGGUAGUCCACACUGUAAACGAUGAUUACUAGGUGUUGGAGGAUUGACCCCUUCAGUGCCGCAGUUAACACAAUAAGUAAUCCACCUGGGGAGUACGACCGCAAGGUUGAAACUCAAAGGAAUUGACGGGGGCCCGCACAAGCAGUGGAGUAUGUGGUUUAAUUCGACGCAACGCGAAGAACCUUACCAAGUCUUGACAUCCCUUGACGAUGCUGGAAACAGUAUUUCUCCUCGGAGCAAGGAGACAGGUGGUGCAUGGUUGUCGUCAGCUCGUGUCGUGAGAUGUUGGGUUAAGUCCCGCAACGAGCGCAACCCUUAUGGUCAGUUACUACGCAAGAGGACUCUGGCCAGACUGCCGUUGACAAAACGGAGGAAGGUGGGGAUGACGUCAAAUCAUCAUGCCCUUUAUGACUUGGGCUACACACGUACUACAAUGGCGUUAAACAAAGAGAAGCAAGACCGCGAGGUGGAGCAAAACUCAGAAACAACGUCCCAGUUCGGACUGCAGGCUGCAACUCGCCUGCACGAAGUCGGAAUUGCUAGUAAUCGCAGAUCAGCAUGCUGCGGUGAAUACGUUCCCGGGCCU
Molecule: ribosomal RNA, 1332 nt
Filed under: uncultured bacterium
Lineage: Bacteria
Description: bacterial SSU rRNA
Rfam family: Bacterial small subunit ribosomal RNA
Source: RNAcentral